This 250-nucleotide long non-coding RNA is filed under the name Gallus gallus (chicken). The record is from RNAcentral. Lineage: Eukaryota; Metazoa; Chordata; Aves; Galliformes; Phasianidae.
UUUGGACUUUAUCUGGAUAUUCUACUGGCUAUUCAGAAGAUGGCCCUGAGAGAGGUGUUGACUCUACUUCUCUUCUGAAGUUGGGUUAUUGCAAAAAGUAUCAUUUCAGGCAAGCUCCGUAAGCCCAUGUCUGAGUCACUGAGAUGUGUUUUGCAAUGGAGGAUUAAGGUUAUAAAUCUCUUCCAUGAAGAUCUUUUGUGCCAUACAGGAACUUACGGGGCAUAAUUUCUGUUGAGGAACUGGAUUGUGA